RNAcentral lists this transfer RNA (73 nucleotides) under Megophrys omeimontis (Mount Omei spadefoot toad). RNAcentral describes it as "Xenophrys omeimontis (Mount Omei spadefoot toad) tRNA-Leu". It matches the Rfam family "tRNA". From Rfam's summary of the family: Transfer RNA (tRNA) molecules are approximately 80 nucleotides in length. Their secondary structure includes four short double-helical elements and three loops (D, anti-codon, and T loops). Further hydrogen bonds mediate the characteristic L-shaped molecular structure. tRNAs have two regions of fundamental functional importance: the anti-codon, which is responsible for specific mRNA codon recognition, and the 3' end, to which the tRNAs corresponding amino acid is attached (by aminoacyl-tRNA synthetases). tRNAs cope with the degeneracy of the genetic code in two manners: having more than one tRNA (with a specific anti-codon) for a particular amino acid; and 'wobble' base-pairing, i.e. permitting non-standard base-pairing at the 3rd anti-codon position. Lineage: Eukaryota; Metazoa; Chordata; Amphibia; Anura; Megophryidae. The record is from RNAcentral.
GCUUUUAAAGGAAAAUAGUUCAUCCGUUGGUCUUAGGAACCAAUAACUCUUGGUGCAAAUCCAAGUAAAAGCU